Molecule: long non-coding RNA, 2157 nt
Organism: Cyprinus carpio (common carp)
Lineage: Eukaryota; Metazoa; Chordata; Actinopteri; Cypriniformes; Cyprinidae
Source: Ensembl
GUCCAAUACUUUUCCUGGGAAAGUGCUCUUUUGCCUUUCGAAAAGUAAAAAACCAUAUUGUAAAUGCAUUAACAUUCCAGAUAUAAGCAAAUGCAAGAAGGUGUUGGAUGUUUGGGAGAAUUUCUUGAUAAGAGAAAUGAUGAUUGAAAUCUUGAAAUCCCCGUUAACUGAUAUAAGAGACUAAACAUUGUUUAGUACAAGAAGAUAAUAAAAGAGGGAGGAACAAAAUCUGCCAUAGAGUGAGUAAGCAACUACAUGCUGUCAGCUUGGAGAAAAUUCCCCUGUUCAUAGUCAGAGUGUAGCCCGAGAACACUUUCAUUACCACUUUCUUCUUCCACACAGCACACAGCACACAUCUAACCACUUCCAGCAUUAUUCUGAAAGGGGGAAAAAAGAUGUUCGCCAUUAUGCCAUUUUUAAUUAUCGUCCUGUCAUCAGACUACACCAAAGGUAAGCAAUGUAACUAUAGUUUUGCAUUUUAACCACAUAGACUGUUUUAAAGUCUUGAACGUCUUUGAUUUUCCGUCUUUAACCCACAACAUGAAGUUUUAGAGUUUUAAAAGGAUUUUGAUUUUGUAUCCCAUUCUGUCACAUGCUUAGCAUACACUCCGCAAAAAAGAAACUUUUGCUCCUCUCACAUUCAAAUUUCUUAACGUGUAAAUAACAUGCGCAAUAAUUGUUUAUGGUUCAUUAAGCAAGCAUGAAAAAUAUUGUUUAAGCCCUUAUAGAUCUGUAAAACUUAUUUGGACUUAAAAUGAGCUUAUUUGGAAAUUAUCUUUAAAAUACAGUAUGCUAAAAAAUAGUUUAUAAACUUUUUUUUUUUUUUUUUUGCUGAGUUUGUAUGCAUAUAAAUAUCUAAGCAUAUGCUAAUAUUGCUUUCUGAUGCAUGCAGGUGAAAUAGAGCUGCGUGCUGUCAAACACCAGACAGUGAAUUGCAAUGAGAGGACUGUCUUACAAUGCAUUAUCAGCUCAUCAAUGCCAUUGAGCAUUGUUAAAGUAUACUGGAAAAAAACAGAAGACAAAGAUUUUGAAUGUGAUCCAACAUCCAGCAAUAGACCUCCAGGAUUUGAGUGCAACUACACAGGAGAAGCACUGACAUUAACCAUCUCAAAUCCUACACCAGCAAACAUGGGCUCGUAUUUUUGUUGUAUAAAGGCAGACUCUGGACAUGGAGCAAAAGAAAUCAAUGUAUCUAUAGGACAAUGCACCGGAGAAUUCUCCCACCAGAUGCCUGAACCCAAACAAAUGCAGUGUAGCUUUAAUGGUGUGUACCCAGAGGGCAUGAUAAACUGGUUUCAUUAUGACAAGAACCUGACUUCCAGCUCUACAGUCACAAGUCUGGUGAACUCUGAUGGAACGUUCAGCAUCACAAGUGUCCUAAACAUCCAGGACGAUCAAGAGAAAUAUAAAUGCUCACUGUGGUCUCUCAAACACGGAAAAUACCUUAAAGAUCAAGAGUUUGAAGUACCAGUUCAUGCUGAUUCCAGGCCCAUUAGCAGAGUCAGCACACAGCAUUGUUUGUCAUGGACUCUUAUCUUUCUUUGCCUGAUGUUUUGAUUGAAAGCCUGUUUGUCUCCAACUAUCUAAGACAUGGCCACAGGAUACAGUAGUGAACUGACAACUGACCCACAGCUUCUCUCUUACUGCAUUAUGACUAUUAAUUGCACUGACAUGAAAAACCCAAACUAUUUCAAACUGCAUUUUGCAAAUGUUCUCAAUUAAUCAAUCUCAAAUGAAUUUAAAGACUACUGAAUAUAAAAAUGAUGAAAAGCUUAGUUAUUUUAGUAUCAUUGAGACACUCUUGUCGUUUUUAUUAAAUAGUAUAUAUUAGUUUUGUGUGUGAAUGUUUUAUAUACUGUAGUUUUUAUUAAUGUAAUCUAUAUAAUUUGUAUUAUUUUUUAUUAUUAUUUUAAAGUUAUUUUAAUUCACAAAAGUAAAACAAAUGAAAAGUUUCCUCUAACUUAAAAAAAAACACUUUUAAAAAUCAGUUAUUAUAAUUUUGUUACUGUAUACUGUUAUCGUUUUGUUAUUAUUAUAAUUUUUUGGUUUGUUUGUUUUUGUUUUGUGUUUUUUCCAAUGACUGCUUUGGCUAUGUGCACUUAAGAUUUGUUCUAUUUUUUUAAAACUGCCGCUAAUAAAAUUUUGAUUGUUUAUGCA